GUAAUAAUUACAUUGUUACUGACACUGACUGCAACUACAGGUGGUUUGAGUGAGUCCAACGGAUGGGCAAGCCCACCAAGGAAACAAAUAGUACGCAAAAAACAUGGGUAGAAUCAGAGCAGGACGGGGCCAACGAGUAGAGCAUAAGCCCAGAACGCUGACCACAGUCCCCUGAUAGAAGGGUAAUGAUCCUUCCGCAGGUUCACCUACGGAAA
Molecule: unclassified non-coding RNA, 215 nt
Filed under: uncultured fungus
Lineage: Eukaryota; Fungi
Description: sequence contains ITS1
Source: RNAcentral